GACGAACGCUGGCGGCGUGCUUAACACAUGCAAGUCGAACGGAAAGGCCCUGCUUUUGUGGGGUGCUCGAGUGGCGAAAGGGUGAGUAACACGUGAGUAACCUGCCCUUGACUUUGGGAUAACUUCAGGAAACUGGGGCUAAUACCGGAUAGGAGCUCCUGCUGCAUGGUGGGGGUUGGAAAGUUUCGGCGGUUGGGGAUGGACUCGCGGCUUAUCAGCUUGUUGGUGGGGUAGUGGCUUGCCAAGGCUUUGACGGGUAGCCGGCCUGAGAGGGUGACCGGCCACAUUGGGACUGAGAUACGGCCCAGACUCCUACGGGAGGCAGCAGUGGGGAAUAUUGCACAAUGGGCGGAAGCCUGAUGCAGCAACGCCGCGUGCGGGAUGACGGCCUUCGGGUUGUAAACCGCUUUCGCCUGUGACGAAGCGUGAGUGACGGUAAUGGGUAAAGAAGCACCGGCUAACUACGUG
RNAcentral lists this ribosomal RNA (468 nucleotides) under uncultured bacterium. Its description in RNAcentral is "partial 16S ribosomal RNA". It matches the Rfam family "Bacterial small subunit ribosomal RNA", at positions 28 to 507 of the family's 1533-position model. The record is from RNAcentral.